AUUCCAGCUCCAAUAGCGUAUAUUAAAGUUGUUGCAGUUAAAAAGCUCGUAGUUGGAUUUGUGGUGAAUUGUAGCGUCCUCUUUUGGUCUUGCUGCAAUUUGUCAUCCUUGGGUGGAAUCUGUGUGGCAUUAGGUUGUCGUGCAGGGGAGGCCCAUCAUUUACUGUGAAAAAAUCAGCGCGUUCAAAGCAGGCUUAGGCCAUUGAAUGUAUUAGCAUGGAAUAAUAGGAUAGGGCCUUGGUACUAUUUUGUUGGUUUGUGCACCGAGGUAAUGAUUAAUAGGGACAGUUGGGGGUAUUCGUAUUCCAUUGUCAGAGGUGAAAUUCUUGGAUUUCUGGAAGACGAACUACUGCGAAAGCAUUUACCAAGGAUGUUUUC
Molecule: ribosomal RNA, 377 nt
Filed under: Encyonema sp. DM-MEX009
Lineage: Eukaryota; Bacillariophyta; Bacillariophyceae; Cymbellales; Encyonemataceae
Description: bacterial SSU rRNA
Rfam family: Eukaryotic small subunit ribosomal RNA
Source: RNAcentral